Molecule: ribosomal RNA, 931 nt
Filed under: uncultured archaeon
Lineage: Archaea
Description: bacterial SSU rRNA
Rfam family: Archaeal small subunit ribosomal RNA
Source: RNAcentral
UUUCCCGGUUGAUCCCGCCGGAGGUCACUGCUAUGGGAAUUCGACUAAGCCAUGCAAGUUGAGGGCACCCUUUUUAGGAGACCCAGCGAACUGCUCAGCAACACGUGGAUAAUCUGCCCACAGGACGGGGAUAAUCCACGGGAAAACUGGGAAUAAUACCCGAUAGAUCAUUGGUACUGGAAUGUCCUUUGAUCUAAAUGCUCUUUCUACGCCUGUGGAUGAGUCUGCGUCCGAUUAGGCUGUUGUUGGGGUAACGGCCCAACAAACCUACGAUCGGUACGGGUCGUGAGAGCGAUUGCCCGGAGAUGGGAUCUGAGAUAUGAUCCUAGGCCCUACGGGGUGCAGCAGGCGCGAAAACUUUACAAUGUGGGAAACCAUGAUAAGGGAAUUCCCAGUGUUCCUACAUAGUAGGAACUGUUUAGGUGUGUAAAAAGCACCUAAUAGAAAGGGCCGGGUAAGACCGGUGCCAGCCGCCGCGGUAAUACCGGUGGCUCGAGUGGUGGCCGCUAUUAUUGGGUCUAAAGGGUCCGUAGCCGGCUUGAUAAGUUACCUGGGAAAUCCGGUGGCCUAACCAUCGGGCGGCCAGGUAACACUAUCAGGCUCGGGACUAGGAGAGACCAGAGGUACUCAUGAGGUAGGAGUGAAAUCCUGUAAUCUUAUGAGGACCACCAGUGGUGAAGACGUCUGGUUAGAAUAGGUCCGACGGUGAGGGACGAAGGCUGGGGGCGCAAACCGGAUUAGAUACCCGGGUAGUCCCAGCAGUAAACGAUGCCAGCUAUGUGUUGCUGGAACCAUGGGUUCCAGCAGUGCCGAAGGGAAGCCGUGAAGCUGGCCACCUGGGAAGUACGGUCGCAAGGCUGAAACUUAAAGGAAUUGGCGGGGGAGUACCACAACCGGUGGAGCCUGCGGUUUAAUUGGAUUCAACGCCGGA